This 568-nucleotide ribosomal RNA is filed under the name uncultured bacterium. RNAcentral's name for it is "partial 16S ribosomal RNA". It matches the Rfam family "Bacterial small subunit ribosomal RNA", at positions 355 to 914 of the family's 1533-position model. The record is from RNAcentral.
UGGGGAAUAUUGGACAAUGGGCGCAAGCCUGAUCCAGCAAUGCCGCGUGUGUGAAGAAGGCCUUCGGGUUGUAAAGCACUUUUAUCAGGAGCGAAACGCUGUCGGCUAAUACCCGGCGGAACUGACGGUACCUGAGGAAUAAGCACCGGCUAACUUCGUGCCAGCAGCCGCGGUAAUACGAAGGGUGCAAGCGUUAAUCGGAAUUACUGGGCGUAAAGCGUGCGUAGGCGGUUUCUUAAGUCUGCUGUGAAAUCCCCGGGCUCAACCUGGGAAUGGCAGUGGAUACUGGGAGGCUAGAGUGUGUCAGAGGGUGGUGGAAUUCCCGGUGUAGCGGUGAAAUGCGUAGAAAUCGGGAGGAACAUCAGUGGCGAAGGCGGCCACCUGGGACAACACUGACGCUGAGGCACGAAAGCGUGGGGAGCAAACAGGAUUAGAUACCCUGGUAGUCCACGCCCUAAACGAUGCGAACUGGAUGUUGGUCUCAACUCGGAGAUCAGUGUCGAAGCUAACGCGUUAAGUUCGCCGCCUGGGGAGUACGGUCGCAAGACUGAAACUCAAAUGAAUUGAC